GACGAACGCUGGCGGCGUGCUUAACACAUGCAAGUCGAACGGAAAGGCCCUGCUUGCAGGGUACUCGAGUGGCGAACGGGUGAGUAACACGUGGGUGAUCUGCCCUGCACUUCGGGAUAAGCCUGGGAAACUGGGUCUAAUACCGGAUAGGAGCCAUUUUUAGUGUGAUGGUUGGAAAGUUUUUUCGGUGUGGGAUGAGCUCGCGGCCUAUCAGCUUGUUGGUGGGGUAAUGGCCUACCAAGGCGGCGACGGGUAGCCGGCCUGAGAGGGUGGACGGCCACAGUGGGACUGAGAUACGGCCCAGACUCCUACGGGAGGCAGCAGUGGGGAAUAUUGCACAAUGGGCGCAAGCCUGAUGCAGCGACGCCGCGUGGGGGAUGACGGCCUUCGGGUUGUAAACUCCUUUCGCUAGGGACGAAGCUUUUUGUGACGGUACCUAGAUAAGAAGCACCGGCUAACUACGUG
RNAcentral lists this ribosomal RNA (465 nucleotides) under uncultured bacterium. RNAcentral's name for it is "partial 16S ribosomal RNA". It matches the Rfam family "Bacterial small subunit ribosomal RNA", at positions 28 to 507 of the family's 1533-position model. The record is from RNAcentral.